AGAGGUGCAAAACUGUGAGAAGAUAAAAUAUCAGAACUUCACUGAUAGCAGAGGGGCUGAAUGAAGACCUCAGCAUUUUGGAGCUCUUAGGAUGGACAGAAAGGGAUUCUGAAGUUUUCAAUAAAAUGUAUUGAGGAGUAGCUUGUAAUGCAGAAUAGAUAAAAAUCUUACAGCUAUCACAGCGUAAGCGGGUAUUUUACCAUCUGGGGCCAUUGCUGAAUCAGAUGGGUGUCCUGGUGAUGGAAGACACUGUUGUGCUCUGGUCUCCACAGCUCCAGAAAGACAAUGAGAAGGUCUGGUAGAGUCUACAAAGACAACUGGGGUUCAGGAGCAUCUCUGUUAUGAGGAGAUACUGCAGGAGCUGGGCCUGGAGAAGAGAAGACGGAGGAUCUCAUCAAUGCAAAUAUCUCAAAGCAGAAUGAAACUAAGAGAAGAGCAGGAGACACGAUGAGGAACGUGCACACUGUAUUUAGCAGGCCUAAAAGGAGCAACAAGAGCCACACCAGUGAGAAGAGGAACUGCCUCACUCAGGUGGUUUUGGAUCCAGCAUUUGAAGAGGGACUGUUUUGAUACGUCAGCUUUGAAGCACUUCUGUUAUGGUAUAGUUAUGCUGGUUUAUUCUAGCUAAGGCUAUCCUUUGGUGUCUUCUACAUAGAGAUUCUGUACAUGGCAGAGCCUCUUAAUACCAUCAGCAAACAUUUAUUCAAUAUGAAUUAUGUUCUUAAAUGAAACACCAGCAUAUGCAUCAGAUCUGAAGGCCUCCCUCUAACAGAAGUCUGCUUUUCUUAUAGACUGAAUGAGCAGCUCUGUGUUAUAUACUUGUCCGUCCUCAAUACAUAAGAAGUCCAUGUUACUGUCCUAUAUUUUUAAAAGUUCCAACAGCUGCCUUAACUAAUUUGAUAAUAACAAAAAGAAAAGAGAAGAAAAUCUUUGAGGGUAAUAAGCAAAUUUGGAAACACUUCAUAAGCCUGAAUGGUUUUGUAAACUAAAUAUCAUUCACUGAAGGAAGAAAUUACCAUAUCAAAUAAUUCGUGGGACCUCAGACCAGGAACUAAACUGCAAAAGGUGGCAGGAAAUUAUAGUGGGGCACAGAACAUAAUUUUCAACAAAAUUCUGUUUCUCUUUCUUAAUAACAAGUUUCUGGAAGUGAAUGCUCAGUUAGAAAUCAUGUAUUAUUGGAAAUUUAAUCAUAUUGAUACAUGGAAGUUUCACUGUAUUAGUGUCAAAGUGUCAACCUCCCCAAAUUAAUCAGCAUGUGUUAAUGACACAGAUGGUAAAUUCUACCAUCAGAAGCUGAAUUGCCAAUAGUUCACUUUUCCAGAUACAGGGUGAAUUACUUUUUCAUCUAAAGGAAUCCUAAUCUGCAAAUCUUUCUUUUACAUAAAUGCUGUCUGCUAAAAUCUUUUAAAUUUUACCAUGCCUUAUUCAAACGAGAACUAUACUUUAACAAACUUUCUAAAAGCUGAAUUACUUCUAAAUUUCUGAACUAACAUUUUUAAUACACAUAACUAUUGUUAUUCAGUUCUGCUUAUUGUGAUGAUUCUGUCAUUUCUCUUAACUUGAGCUGUGCCCUGCUAUUGGAAAGAGCUUGUCAUAUUUUAUGAAACAGUUAUGGUGAAAAAAUACAUGAAAAGCUGAGAAGAAAGUGUAAAGCAAGAAAGGAACAAGAAGAAAUAUGGAUUAAUGUUGCCUAAUUUUUGAGCAGGUUAUUAAAUAACUGGAACAUAGCAAUUACCUUUAAAAAUGGCUCUGUCUCUAUGUGCAGCUAAGAACAGUCAAGAGAUUUCAUCAGAAUUACUUCCUACACUUAUGUCUCUGAGAAGCACAUACAUGGUUCACAAAAAAAAAAAGAGAUUUUUAAAAUAUCUCAAUGCUAUUUUAUCUUGCUAGCGUCAAAAUCA
Molecule: non-coding RNA, 1901 nt
Organism: Cyanistes caeruleus (blue tit)
Lineage: Eukaryota; Metazoa; Chordata; Aves; Passeriformes; Paridae
Source: RefSeq, a predicted model, not a curated record